RNAcentral lists this ribosomal RNA (492 nucleotides) under uncultured bacterium. RNAcentral describes it as "partial 16S ribosomal RNA". It matches the Rfam family "Bacterial small subunit ribosomal RNA", at positions 29 to 507 of the family's 1533-position model. The record is from RNAcentral.
AGUGAACGCUGGCGGUAGGCCUAACACAUGCAAGUCGAACGGCAGCACAGUAAGAGCUUGCUCUUACGGGUGGCGAGUGGCGGACGGGUGAGGAAUACAUCGGAAUCUACUUUUUCGUGGGGGAUAACGUAGGGAAACUUACGCUAAUACCGCAUACGACCUACGGGUGAAAGCAGGGGAUCUUCGGACCUUGCGCGAUUGAAUGAGCCGAUGUCGGAUUAGCUAGUUGGCGGGGUAAAGGCCCACCAAGGCGACGAUCCGUAGCUGGUCUGAGAGGAUGAUCAGGCACAGUGGAACUGAGACACGGUCCAGACUACUACGGGAGGCAGCAGUGGGGAAUAUUGGACAAUGGGAGAAAGUCUGAUCCAGCCAUGCAGCGUGUGUGAAGAAGGUCUUCGGAUUGUAAAGCACUUUAAGUUGGGAGGAAGGGCAGUAAGUUAAUACCUUGCUGUUUUGACGUUAACAACAGAAUAAGCAACGGCUAACUUCGUG